AACGGGAUCCAGAUCAAAGCUUGCUUUGGUUUGGUGAGAGUGGCGCACGGGUGCGUAACGCGUGAGCAACCUACCCUUGUCAGGGGGAUAGCCCGGCGAAAGUCGGAUUAAUACCGCAUGACAUCAUUGAGAGGCAUCUUUCGAUGAUCAAAGAUUUAUCGGACAAGGAUGGGCUCGCGUGACAUUAGCUAGUUGGUAAGGUAACGGCUUACCAAGGCUACGAUGUCUAGGGGCUCUGAGAGGAGAAUCCCCCACACUGGUACUGAGACACGGACCAGACUCCUACGGGAGGCAGCAGUAAGGAAUAUUGGUCAAUGGACGGAAGUCUGAACCAGCCAUGCCGCGUGCAGGAAGACGGCCCUAUGGGUUGUAAACUGCUUUUAUACGGGAACAAACGUCGGUACGUGUACCGGUCUGAGUGUACCGUAAGAAUAAGGAUCGGCUAACUCCGUGCCAGCAGCCGCGGUAAUACGGAGGAUCCGAGCGUUAUCCGGAAUUAUUGGGUUUAAAGGGUGCGUAGGCGGCCAGAUAAGUCAGGGGUGAAAGUCGGCAGCUCAACUGUCGCAGUGCCUUUGAUACUGUUUGGCUUGAAUUCGGUUGAAGAUGGCGGAAUGAGACAAGUAGCGGUGAAAUGCAUAGAUAUGUCUCAGAACCCCGAUUGCGAAGGCAGCUAUCUAAGCCGUUAUUGACGCUGAUGCACG
This 701-nucleotide ribosomal RNA is filed under the name Sphingobacterium sp. HWLB1. RNAcentral describes it as "bacterial SSU rRNA". It matches the Rfam family "Bacterial small subunit ribosomal RNA", at positions 65 to 755 of the family's 1533-position model. Lineage: Bacteria; Pseudomonadati; Bacteroidota; Sphingobacteriia; Sphingobacteriales; Sphingobacteriaceae. The record is from RNAcentral.